CAGUACUAGCAGGUUGCUAGUUUUGUUUCCCCGCCUGAUGGAAACAGUGCUAUUUUCCCUUAUAACUGUUACUUUAUGUACUAGUCGUGAAUUUCCGAGUGUGCAGGUCAGACUGGGUGCACAUCCAGAUAACUGAAUGAUUUACCAACGGGUGUCACACCAGGCAAAGGUGUGAAUGGCUGUGCAGGAUGAGCACUGGGAUGAGGAGGCCAGCUUGGAAGAUGACUGCCUAGUGCUAAGCAGAAGCAGCAGCUUUCAGCCAGCAGAAAGCAGAAAACAAGGCAGCCCAGCUGCCCAAGAUCCAGUGAACAUACACAUCUGUUGGAGUACACAUCUCAGGAAUAAUGUCAUCAACACUCACCGGCUGUAGUCCACGAAAGCUUAUGCUCUAAUAAAUUUGUUAGUCUCUAAGGUG
Molecule: non-coding RNA, 415 nt
Organism: Chrysemys picta bellii (western painted turtle)
Lineage: Eukaryota; Metazoa; Chordata; Testudines; Emydidae
Source: RefSeq, a predicted model, not a curated record